GCCUACGGGGGGCAGCAGUGGGGAAUAUUGCACAAUGGGGGAAACCCUGAUGCAGCGACGCCGCGUGAGCGAUGAAGUAUUUCGGUAUGUAAAGCUCUAUCAGCAGGGAAGAAAAUGACGGUACCUGACUAAGAAGCCCCGGCUAACUACGUGCCAGCAGCCGCGGUAAUACGUAGGGGGCAAGCGUUAUCCGGAUUUACUGGGUGUAAAGGGAGCGUAGACGGCUGUGCAAGCCAGAUGUGAAAGCCCGGGGCUCAACCCCGGGACUGCAUUUGGAACUGUGAGGCUGGAGUGUCGUAGAGGCG
Molecule: ribosomal RNA, 305 nt
Filed under: uncultured bacterium
Lineage: Bacteria
Description: bacterial SSU rRNA
Rfam family: Bacterial small subunit ribosomal RNA
Source: RNAcentral